This is a long non-coding RNA of Denticeps clupeoides (denticle herring), 2521 nucleotides long. Lineage: Eukaryota; Metazoa; Chordata; Actinopteri; Clupeiformes; Denticipitidae. The record is from Ensembl.
CCUCCCGUCUGCUCAUGCUCUGCUCUGGGUUCCUCCCGUAAGAGCCUGUACGCCCCCAGAAGCCCCUCCUCUGCGGCUCCAGGCACCGUUGCCUCUCUGCCCAAUCACGUGGCCUGUUGCCCUCCAACCACUGCCCAGACCAACCAAUCAUCUGUCACCGCCAUGAUGGCCAGCACCAACCAAUCCAAUGCAGCGGAAACCACUAGCCCCUCCCCCACUCAGCCAAGCAUCAGUAAAAAGGGCAAGUCUCGGCCAAUUGAGAAAGAUGGGCGGAGCCGCAAUCGCCUGGGCCACACCUCCUCACCUCUCUUCCUCAACAAAGCAAAGAGACCCCUCCCACCAGAGGGGACAGGGGGCACGAGCAACCGUCUACCUGGGGCGCAGCCUCCCCGAAGACAACGCAGCACACACACACUGGGCGGAAACUUCUCACCCUCUCUCUCUCAGAUACACAUCCUGGAAACAGAACAACAAAUAACAGCACAGAACUGUCUGUUACCCAGCGACUGCAGGUCCGGGUUCUACAGCUACACUGUGGCGCUUCCGAGAAACACAACAGACACACACGUUACCUUUCAUUUCAGUUCUGAGGACGGCGUGUGGAUUCGGCAGUGUGGCGUGACCCUCGGCCACCUCUGCCCGGAGCAAACACAGGCGCGCAGCGCUGAGGAAAUCCGGUCGCUGAUACAGGGCACAGACGGCCUGUGGUCACUUCCUGCCGUCGCCUUUCAGGACGUCACUUAUCACUUCCGCGUCUCUCUGUCCAACGUGGUGAACUGCAGCGAUGAGGAGAAGGAGAUGAAGGAAAAUGAGGCGUCUUCCCCGUACUCCGAUUACCACUUCCUCAUUCUCAGCCGAUGCACUUGAGAGUCCGUCCGUCUGUCUCACUCCGACCCUGUCACUGUAUCCACGCCGAAUGGGACACUGUUUGUUUUAGGGUGACAGUAUAUUUUUGUAGAAGGGAUAGGUUUCAUAAAUCCUGUGCGGUUCUUCUGGAAUGAAUUUGUGUGUGUGUGUGUGUGUGUGUGUGCGCGCGCAUCACUGCACUCCCCGUCUCACCUCUUAACUGUGUGAUCUUGAUCUGUAAAACACACCAUGUUUUAUAUCUUCACAUGAUUCGCUCUCUGGGUUGUUUUGUACUGAUAAUGUAACUGCAUAUUACUCCUUCUGACCCUGACCUCAGUGUGUGUGUGUUGCCAUGGUGAAUUUACCGGGUUACUUCCGAAAAACGGGGGGUGUGUGGGUGGCAGCCAUUAUUUGGAAAAAGUCGCAUACAUGAACAAAAAAAUGACUGGAAUCAGGUAAAGCCGAUCAUCUCUCACCGUCAUCGGAGCAGAGAAGACUGGAAGGGCUGGUACACUGGAUCGCCGUAAUCUCUGACUGGUCCGACACUGAUGUCUCAUGAACACUGGAGUUCCCUACACUGGAAUCUGGGAGCACGGCCACCGUCCUGCACACAGCAUGUACACUGUAUCAUGUCAUAACGUUUUUUAAUGUGUGUUGUGUAAUGUAAUCACUGUAUGUUAACCUGAUGUGAAAAGCCGUAAUGAUGAACAGAGGGUGGAAACUUUGUCACUGGAAGAGGCAGACAGACUUUUUUUUUUUUUUUUUUUUCGUGGCUAAACUAUGGACUUCUUCAUGCCACGUGAGCAUCUACUUAAGGUGACAGCACGCAUCGACAGAUCCUGAACUUUCUGAGAGAUGUUUCUGCAGCGUGACAAGCCAUAGUGGAUGAGUUUUGCAUAAAUAAUGACCUGAAUGUCACGUAUUGGACCCACAUGAACAAAUGUAUUAAAAUCUGAUUUUACAUAAAAUGAAAGAUGUUUGUCCCAGGUUUCGGGUGAUUUGAGCCCAGGGGAAAUCUGACAUUCUAUGGUUCUCAUUGACCAGGACUGUGAAGCCAUUAUAAAGCGUACCAGCUUAAAAAGCAUUAUAGCACUUCCUGUUCAUGCACUGUAUAUAUGAAAACACCUUUCCUUUCUAUAGCAUUUCUAACUGGUUACAAACACACGAGUGAGAAUUUUUUUUUUUUAUCAUCUCAGUUAAUACUUGUAAAUCAAUCCUUUUCAUGUUUAAUAUUUACUGUUGUUAUUAAUAUGCAGUACAUUUCUUAUGAUGUCAUUUACAUUUAACCAUUUUGUUUGAUCAUUAUCAAAAGUAAAACUUUUUUAAAUGGCAUUACUGAAAUAAUCCAGAUGUGACAGGUAUAAAGAAAACAACUGCUCUAAUCUUUAGCAGUGUUCCUAUUAAUGUCUCAGUAUAUCAUAAAUUCUUAAAUGUUUCAGACAACUAUAAUAUUGAAUUUAAUUAUCCCUUACAGCAAAGUCUGUAUCACCUCCUACCAUUUGUUUUUUUUAUGACAUUAGACUAGUCGUUUUGUUUUUUAUAUCGCCAGCUGAAUUACGAUCAUUUUAUUUCAGAGCACUUCUUCUUUUUCAUUUUGUGAAAAGCAUGUACUGACAUCAUAAUAUGAAUGCAUGCAGGAAUGGCGAGUAAAUUAAAUUGUAAUUUUGAACACUAC